AGUGAACGUUGGCGGCGUGGAUUAGGCAUGCAAGUCGAGCGAUCGUAGCAAUACGGGGAGCGGCAAACGGGGUAGGAAUACAUCGGAACGUACCUUUUGGUUGAGAAUAGCGUUGGGAAACUGACGGUAAUACUCAAUAAAGUCGAGAGACCAAAGGUUUACUGCCGGAAGAGCGGCCGAUGCGAUAUUAGGUAGUUGGUGGGGUAAUGGCCUACCAAGCCUGAGAUGUCUAGGGGGUGUGAGAGCAUGGCCCCACCACUGGGACUGAGAUACUGCCCAGACACCUACGGGUGGCUGCAGUCGAGGAUCUUCGUCAAUGGGCGAAAGCCUGAACGAGCGACGCCGCGUGCGGGAUGAAGGCCCUUGGGUUGUAAACCGCUGUCAGGGGGGAUGAAACCGUAAGGUUGACAGAGCCCAGAGGAAGCACGGGCUAAGUUCGUG
RNAcentral lists this ribosomal RNA (441 nucleotides) under uncultured bacterium. RNAcentral describes it as "bacterial SSU rRNA". It matches the Rfam family "Bacterial small subunit ribosomal RNA", at positions 29 to 507 of the family's 1533-position model. The record is from RNAcentral.